AUUUUCAGCUACCACUUACUUGAUCAUAGAAACUUUCUUAACCCCAAACCUCUCUCAUUUCAACACUUUCCUCCAACAAGAACUCCACCUGAAACAAAAAUAAUUCUCUCUAUAACCUUUCAACCCAGAACUCCCUAUUCAGCUUUAAAUUCAACCACAGGGAAGAGGAUUUCCCUCUCCUUUUUCUUCAUAUUAGACAGUUACUCACUUACCUGUUUUCAUCUAGUCUUUCCUCAGCCCCUGAUCCUGAAAGAAGCUGGUUCACAGAGCACUCACAGAGCAUCACUGAACAUGAGGAGAGUAUACCUGCAGGGAAGCUCUUUGAAGGGAAGUCAACCUUCUUUAUGUCUGUUUGAAAGUCUUACCAGCCUUCUCAGAUCUGGCCAGCUCUGGAAAACUUGUCUCAGCAGCUCUGGGUAUUUUGGUAGCAAGAACACCACUCUCCCACCAGCAUAUCAGGAGGUAUAUAUGGAGAAAUGCCACCAGAAUGUGUGACUAAGGACACGUGAGAGUGAUCAACUCCUAUCAACUACCAGCAUGGGAAACGUUUUGAAUUUAUUUCUGCUUUGGGUAGAUAACAUGCCUGAUAUUACAAAAGGCUGCUUGAUGAAAUUCUUUACUGAAAGAAUCACUGCUGCUGGGAAGCUCAGAAAUGAUUUUCAGAAACUGAAAUACGAUCACAAUGAAAAUCUCAGUUCAGCUUUCAGACAGACAUCGGUAAAAUGAUGCUUUCCUGAAAGCACGCCUAAGUGGGAAGCAGAUUGGCAACCCUUUUGGCAAAACUCUAAUGCAGCACUUCAGCAGGGGUCUUCAAAAGAAACAGAAUAACUCAGCAACACAAAGGCAGCAGAAACGCUGCAUUUCACUCCACGCGUUGUCUUCAAAAAGAGCCCGCGUACUUUGAAGAGAAUUGUAGUGGACAACGAUUAAACUGUGCAGUCAGGGGAAGAGAGCAGUGAAACCCUGGGACAUGUCUGCACCCCACCGUGCCCACACGACCCAUGGGCAGGAAGCAAGUCGGCCCAGCCUCAUGAGUGGGGUGACCCCCACAGCGCACCUCCAGCUCCGAGCUGCUCAGCCCUGCGUGGGGGCCGGGGCCUGACCAGCCUCCAGCAGCUCUCCUCCGUCUCUGACACACAGAAAUGCCCUCAGAUCGGCGUCGCGGUGAAUGGCGAAGAGCUGAGGCUUGGCUGAUUCACUCUGGAAAUACAGCACAUGUAUUUUUUUUAGCAGAAGCUGUAAUUUUACUUAAGGCUCCAAAUUUGGAUUGGGCAUCUUUCUAAAAGUUGACCUCCUGCCUAACCAGCAACUGUGGGGCAGAUGCAGAAUCACAUCCCACCUUGGAAGACCACGACCUUAAGAAUUUAUAUAUAUCAAACAUGAACUUCAUUUUGAUCCUUUCCCACUGUCCAGAGAUGUCAGAGAUCAGUUUAAUUGCAUAGCCUGUCAAGACUCCCUGGGAAUUAUGUGUAUUUUCUCUCUCUCUCUCAUACAA
RNAcentral lists this long non-coding RNA (1495 nucleotides) under Anas platyrhynchos platyrhynchos (common mallard). RNAcentral describes it as "lncRNA (ENSAPLG00000021123.1)". Lineage: Eukaryota; Metazoa; Chordata; Aves; Anseriformes; Anatidae. The record is from RNAcentral.